Molecule: long non-coding RNA, 1035 nt
Organism: Coregonus clupeaformis (lake whitefish)
Lineage: Eukaryota; Metazoa; Chordata; Actinopteri; Salmoniformes; Salmonidae
Exons: 2
Source: RefSeq, a predicted model, not a curated record
UGGGAACAUUGUGGGAAGAAGCAGAUGUGAUAAGAGAACCAGGUUAAGAGAACGGAACAGCCAGGUCACAAGGAUGAUAUGACCAGGUUAAGAGAAGGGAACAGCCAAGUCACAAGGAUGAUAUGACCAGGUUAAGAGAAGGGAAUAGCCAAGUCACAAGGAUGAUAUGACCAUGUUAAGAGAACGGAACAGCCAAGUCACAAGGAUGAUAUGACCAGGUUAAGAGAAGGGAACAGCCAAGUCACAAGGAUGAUAUGACCGGGUUAAGAGAAGGGAACAGCCAGGUAACAAGGAUGAUAUGACCAGGUUAAGAGAAGGGAACAGCCAAGUCACAAGGAUGAUAUGACCAGGUUAAGAGAAGGGAAUAGCCAAGUCACAAGGAUGAUAUGACCAUGUUAAGAGAAGGGAACAGCCAAGUCACAAGGAUGAUAUGACCAGGUUAAGAGAAGGGAACAGCCAAGUCACAAGGAUGAUAUGACCAGGUUAAGAGAAGGGAACAGCCAGGUAACAAGGAUGAUAUGACCAGGUUAAGAGAAGGGAACAGCCAAGUCACAAGGAUGAUAUGACCAGGUUAAGAGAAGGGAACAGCCAAGUCACAAGGAUGAUAUGACCAAGUUAAGAGAAGGGAACAGCCAAGUCACAAGGAUGAUAUGACCAGGUUAAGAGAAGGGAACAGCCAAGUCACAAGGAUGAUAUGACCAGGUUAAGAGAAGGGAACAGCCAAGUCACAAGGAUGAUAUUGUCCAGGUUAAGAGAAGGGAACAGCCAAGUCACAAGGAUGAUAUGACCAGGUUAAGAGAAGGGAACAGCCAAGUCACAAGGAUGAUAUGACCAGGUUAAGAGAAGGGAAUAGCCAGGUAACAAGGAUGAUAUGACCAGGUUAAGAGAAGGGAACAGCCAAGUCACAAGGAUGAUAUGACCAGGUUAAGAGAAGGGAAUAGCCAAGUCACAAGGAUGAUAUGACCAUGUUAAGAGAAGGGAACAGCCAAGUCACAAGGAUGAUAUGACCAGGUUAAGAGAAGGGAACAGCCAAGU